Molecule: ribosomal RNA, 1469 nt
Filed under: Klebsiella sp.
Lineage: Bacteria; Pseudomonadati; Pseudomonadota; Gammaproteobacteria; Enterobacterales; Enterobacteriaceae
Description: bacterial SSU rRNA
Rfam family: Bacterial small subunit ribosomal RNA
Source: RNAcentral
CUCAGAUUGAACGCUGGCGGCAGGCCUAACACAUGCAAGUCGAGCGGUAGCACAGAGAGCUUGCUCUCGGGUGACGAGCGGCGGACGGGUGAGUAAUGUCUGGGAAACUGCCUGAUGGAGGGGGAUAACUACUGGAAACGGUAGCUAAUACCGCAUAAUGUCGCAAGACCAAAGUGGGGGACCUUCGGGCCUCAUGCCAUCAGAUGUGCCCAGAUGGGAUUAGCUAGUAGGUGGGGUAACGGCUCACCUAGGCGACGAUCCCUAGCUGGUCUGAGAGGAUGACCAGCCACACUGGAACUGAGACACGGUCCAGACUCCUACGGGAGGCAGCAGUGGGGAAUAUUGCACAAUGGGCGCAAGCCUGAUGCAGCCAUGCCGCGUGUGUGAAGAAGGCCUUCGGGUUGUAAAGCACUUUCAGCGGGGAGGAAGGCGUUAAGGUUAAUAACCUUGUCGAUUGACGUUACCCGCAGAAGAAGCACCGGCUAACUCCGUGCCAGCAGCCGCGGUAAUACGGAGGGUGCAAGCGUUAAUCGGAAUUACUGGGCGUAAAGCGCACGCAGGCGGUCUGUCAAGUCGGAUGUGAAAUCCCCGGGCUCAACCUGGGAACUGCAUUCGAAACUGGCAGGCUAGAGUCUUGUAGAGGGGGGUAGAAUUCCAGGUGUAGCGGUGAAAUGCGUAGAGAUCUGGAGGAAUACCGGUGGCGAAGGCGGCCCCCUGGACAAAGACUGACGCUCAGGUGCGAAAGCGUGGGGAGCAAACAGGAUUAGAUACCCUGGUAGUCCACGCCGUAAACGAUGUCGAUUUGGAGGUUGUGCCCUUGAGGCGUGGCUUCCGGAGCUAACGCGUUAAAUCGACCGCCUGGGGAGUACGGCCGCAAGGUUAAAACUCAAAUGAAUUGACGGGGGCCCGCACAAGCGGUGGAGCAUGUGGUUUAAUUCGAUGCAACGCGAAGAACCUUACCUGGUCUUGACAUCCACAGAACUUNNCAGAGAUGCAUUGGUGCCUUCGGGAACUGUGAGACAGGUGCUGCAUGGCUGUCGUCAGCUCGUGUUGUGAAAUGUUGGGUUAAGUCCCGCAACGAGCGCAACCCUUAUCCUUUGUUGCCAGCGGUCCGGCCGGGAACUCAAAGGAGACUGCCAGUGAUAAACUGGAGGAAGGUGGGGAUGACGUCAAGUCAUCAUGGCCCUUACGACCAGGGCUACACACGUGCUACAAUGGCAUAUACAAAGAGAAGCGACCUCGCGAGAGCAAGCGGACCUCAUAAAGUAUGUCGUAGUCCGGAUUGGAGUCUGCAACUCGACUCCAUGAAGUCGGAAUCGCUAGUAAUCGUAGAUCAGAAUGCUACGGUGAAUACGUUCCCGGGCCUUGUACACACCGCCCGUCACACCAUGGGAGUGGGUUGCAAAAGAAGUAGGUAGCUUAACCUUCGGGAGGGCGCUUACCACUUUGUGAUUCAUGACUGGGGUGAA